Molecule: transfer RNA, 91 nt
Filed under: Felis catus (domestic cat)
Lineage: Eukaryota; Metazoa; Chordata; Mammalia; Carnivora; Felidae
Also listed under: 2 other names
Rfam family: tRNA
About the family: Transfer RNA (tRNA) molecules are approximately 80 nucleotides in length.
Source: Rfam by way of RNAcentral
GCCUAGGUGGCUCAGUUGGUUAAGCAUCCAACUCUUGAUUUGGCUCAGGUCAUAAUCUCAUGGUUUGUGGGUUCGAGCCCCACACUGGGCU